GACAGAAGGUGCAAGCGUUACUCGGAAUUACUGGGCGUAAAGCGUCCGCAGGUGACUGGGGCAGUCCGGCGUAAAAGCACGAAGCUCAACUUCGUGUACGUGCUGGAAACUCCCCGGAUAGAGUCAUACAGAGGCAUCUGGAAUGUCGUGUGUAGGGGUAAAAUCCGUUGAUCCACGAUAGAACGCCAAAAGCGAAGGCAGGAUGCUGGGUAUGCACUGACACUCAGGGACGAAAGCGUGGUGAGCAAACCGG
This 253-nucleotide ribosomal RNA is filed under the name uncultured bacterium. Its description in RNAcentral is "partial 16S ribosomal RNA". It matches the Rfam family "Bacterial small subunit ribosomal RNA", at positions 524 to 776 of the family's 1533-position model. The record is from RNAcentral.